Molecule: ribosomal RNA, 416 nt
Filed under: uncultured bacterium
Lineage: Bacteria
Description: bacterial SSU rRNA
Rfam family: Bacterial small subunit ribosomal RNA
Source: RNAcentral
AGUGAACGCUGGCGGCAGGCCUAACACAUGCAAGUCGAGCGGCAGCGCGUCCGACCACCCUCGGGUGGUCGGAUGGCGGCGAGCGGCGGACGGGUGAGGAAUGCAUCGGAAUCUGCCUCGUUGUGGGGGAUAACGUAGGGAAACUUACGCUAAUACCGCAUACGACCUACGGGUGAAAGUGGGGGACCUUCGGGCCUCACGCGAUGAGAUGAGCCGAUGCCGGAUUAGCUAGUUGGCGGGGUAAAGGCCCACCAAGGCGACGAUCCGUAGCUGGUCUGAGAGGAUGAUCAGCCACACUGGAAUUGAGACACGGUCCAGACUCCUACGGGAGGCAGCAGUGGGGAAUAUUGGACAAUGGGGGCAACCCUGAUCCAGCCAUGCCGCGUGUGUGAAGAAGGCCUCGGUGUAAGCACUUU